Molecule: long non-coding RNA, 1538 nt
Organism: Nyctereutes procyonoides (raccoon dog)
Lineage: Eukaryota; Metazoa; Chordata; Mammalia; Carnivora; Canidae
Exons: 4
Source: RefSeq, a predicted model, not a curated record
UCCCCUUCCGGCCGGCGCGCCCGGGGGCCGCGGGGUCCUCCCCUCUCCGUAGCAACAACUUCCUUCGGCGCCUUCGCCUCCUCCGUCUGCACCCCUGACCUGGCUGCCGGGGUUCCCGCGACCCUGGCCCACCCGAAGGGCUGCUCAGCAUUACCAUGUGCUGUGUGACGUUGGCUCCCACCGCCAGCCUGAGCCCUGCGUUGCCUGUGUCACCUGCCGAGCAGAGGAGACUCGAGUGCCUCAUGAGACAUCACUGUGACAGAACAGUGUAUCCUGGAACUCAAGCUUCUUGUGUCACAGGCAUAGCCACCUGCACCCCUUGCCCAGAAGUUUGCCUCUGAGGGCCAGAGCCCGGUCUCCAUGGGGACUACAUGGAGAGCAUGGCCAGCUCGGCCCACCUGUGGUCCAGGAACACCAUCACGGCCCCUCAUACAUUCCCACAGAAGACACAAAGAUGGCCAGCAGCACUGGUUUCUAGAGAAACACAAAUUAAAACCGUGUCAAGUUAACACUUCAUACCCCUCAGAAAUUCUGUUAAAAAAACAAGAAAUAAAUGCUGAUGAGGACAUGGAAGAUGCAGGACCCCUGUGCACCGCUGGCAGCAUCUAAGGUAAUAUAGUGCACAGAAAACACUGUAGAGUCUUCAAAAAAAUUAAACACAGAACUACCAUCUGAUCCAGCAAUUCUGCUUCUGAGUAUAUACCCUAAGGAUGAAAAGAAGGGCCUUGAAGAGAUGCCUGCACCCCCAUGUUCACAGCAGCUAAGACACAGGAGCACCCAUGUGUCCGUGGACGGAUGGACAGACAAAAUGUAGUCUAUCCACAUGAUGGAACGUUAUUCAGCCAUAAACAGGAAGGAUGCUCUGACACCUGCUAGCAUGGGGUGAACCUGGAAGACGCUGUGUUACGAAGUGAAAUAUGCCAGCCACGAAAGGACGGAGACUGUGUGACCCCACUUCUAGGAGGCCCCAGAGAAGACAGAUCCUCCAGACUGAAGGUAUGUGGGGGACCAGGGGCUGGGAAGUGAGCAUGUGUCAGGUAUACAAUCUGUCUUACAAGUGAGGACUUCUGGGGAUGAACGGUGGUGUUGGCUGUGCCAGAGUGUAAAUGUACUGAAAACCACUAACUGGUCUCUUAAGAAUGAUUAAGAUGGUAAAGUUUCUGUUGUGUCUUUUGCUACAACCAGAGAAUAUUUCAAAUCAUCCAUAAUUCAAAAAAAUCAGAGAACAAAGGAACUUUUGACAAACAGCCCCAGCCCUCCUGUGGACUGAAUGUGUAUCCCCCCAAAUUCACGUGCUAAAACCGAAUCCCUAGCAGGACAGUGUCUGGAGGGGAGUACUCCAAUCCUUGAACAAGGCUGUGCUUCCUCGCACUUAGGUCCCUCACAGCCUCCAGAGAGAUCUUGUAAUCUCAAUGAACUUUCCCUCCUUGGUUAAUUCCCAUGCUUUAAUCUUUUUGAUGCUGUUAUAUAUAAAAUUUUAAAAUUUCCUUUAAAACUGUUCACCGUGUAUAAAAAUGCAAGUUUUUGCUGACUUUGUA